Molecule: long non-coding RNA, 345 nt
Organism: Phyllostomus discolor (pale spear-nosed bat)
Lineage: Eukaryota; Metazoa; Chordata; Mammalia; Chiroptera; Phyllostomidae
Exons: 3
Source: RefSeq, a predicted model, not a curated record
CUAAGACACACAGUGCUAAAUCUGGGAAGCCAUGACUAAAGGCUAAAUACGCCUUAUUGCCAUGCAAAACAAAGUGUGGACUUCCCAGCUAAUUACCCUUAUCCUGACUCCCAGAUUGUUGACCGUUUCACAAUAACUUGCAGACACAUAUUCCCAAGUAGCAUGGUUCACAUAAAGAAAUGAGUCCUUUAGUUGAUAGCCCUACUUAUCUGCAGCUGUGAAGACAGAAUCUACGCAAGAGCAAUGGUUGUGACCAUUGAAGAAAUGAGUAUACAGUGAAUUUUAUUCAUGUUCUUAUUUUUAGCAUUUUAAUUGUAUUAUAUUUUGAUUUUUUAUUCAAUAAGA